Anopheles funestus (African malaria mosquito) is the source of this 1574-nucleotide RNA transcript. It is a transcript of the gene named pleckstrin homology domain-containing family F member 1 homolog, with no coding region annotated. The record is from RefSeq and is a predicted model, not a curated record. Lineage: Eukaryota; Metazoa; Arthropoda; Insecta; Diptera; Culicidae. The transcript is spliced from 8 exons.
UGCGCUCUUUGCUGUCAGCAAAACAGCAUCGACAGAGGAAUGUAUCGAACACUGGAAUAGCACGAAUAAUUUAAUUGUCCUACAAGUUUCAGAAAGAGUUUUGAUACGUGACCCAUCAAGUUGAUUAUUUUUUUGUUUUUAUUUUGUUUAAUUGUAAAUACAGUUGCUAAUUUCGUUCGAAUUUGUGAGGAAAGUAAAGACAUCUAUACCAGUGGUGUUCAAAUAUGGUGGACAAGUUAGUUAACAGCGAAGCCAAUGCUCGACGGAUACAAAUGGUUGAAAACUGUUUCGGAACAUCUGGGCAGCAGUUGCUUGUUCCUGGGCGUGUACUAGUAGGCGAAGGGGUCCUUACAAAAAUGUGUCGCAAACGUCCUAAAGCACGACAAUUUUUCUUGUUUAAUGACAUUUUGGUGUAUGGCAACAUUGUUAUUGGCAAGAAAAAAUACAACAAACAACACUUAAUUCCCCUUGAGGAAGUUCAGUUGCAGGCGCUGGAAGAUAAUGGUCAGUAUAGAAAUGGUUGGCUGAUACGUACGGCUACCAAAUCUUUCGCAGUCUACGCUGCGACCCAAACAGAAAAACAAGAAUGGAUGGCACACAUCAACAAGUGCAUCGAAGAUUUAUUGCGCAAAAGCGGCAAAAAACCAGUCGAAACGCAUGCUGCGGUAUGGGUUCCAGACAGCGAAGCAACCAUCUGCAUGCAUUGUAAAAAGACUCAGUUCACUAUGAUCAACAGAAGGCAUCACUGUCGAAAUUGCGGAGCCGUUGUAUGCGGUCCAUGCUCGUCGAAAAAGUUUAUGCUUCCCGGGCAGAGUAAUAAACCUCUGCGCGUAUGUCUCGAUUGCUACGACAACCUCAAGUCUAUGAAGCGCGAUGGAAACAAAGCACUUGCCGGUAACAACAACAAACCAGCAAACUCUACUGAAAGCUCGGGCGAGGAUGAUUCAGGAGAUGACGAGGAAACUCUUAAGGAUAAUGUGACACACGAUGAAAAUUUUACGAUGCAUUACGCACAUGCAGCGUUAUGUGUGUAAUAAAUAUAAGAAAUCAAUGAGGAACAACGUUUUGAAGUAUAUGAAAAACGUAAAGAAAAGGUUGUACAUUAUUAUUUCUAUUUCUGCUGUAACUCUCCUGAAAGUUCAAAAGCCCAAAUUUUACGCCGAUGGUAAACUUGAAAAAUAAUAAUGUAAGUGCUUUAAUGAAUCCUUCAUAGCGUAAUGCUGGCGUUCGAGCUAAUAAAGUAAAAACUUUCUGGAGAACAAGUGGUAUUGCAUCAAAUAAUCGUACAUUCAGCAGAACAUGAAACAGACACCAAUUUCAUUUUGAUGUAUAACCUUAUAUUCAUUUUAGUAAUGGUAAAAUACAUUGGGUACCCUAUUAUAUAUAUGAUAUUCUUUUACAAUUACAAUGAAUGAUUAGCUUGAAACAACAACAGAAAGAUUAUUUUCUCUUGAUUUAUUUAAGUUAUAGAAAAAGUUAUAAAAAUCAAAAUAUUUAGAUAUUUCCGUAACUUGUAUCAUGCUGUUUCUUGAACAUGAAAUAUAUUUUACUUUUGUCCAAUUAUGUCGUAUAAA